This 365-nucleotide ribosomal RNA is filed under the name uncultured bacterium. Its description in RNAcentral is "bacterial SSU rRNA". It matches the Rfam family "Bacterial small subunit ribosomal RNA", at positions 30 to 395 of the family's 1533-position model. The record is from RNAcentral.
AUUGAACGCUGGCGGCAUGCCUUACACAUGCAAGUCGAACGGCAGCACGGGAGCAAUCCUGGUGGCGAGUGGCGAACGGGUGAGUAAUAUAUCGGAACGUGCCCAGUCGUGGGGAUAACGUAGCGAAAGCUACGCUAAUACCGCAUACGAUCUAUGGAUGAAAGCGGGGGAUCGCAAGACCUCGCGCGAUUGGAGCGGCUGAUAUCAGAUUAGGUAGUUGGUGAGGUAAAGGCUCACCAAGCCGACGAUCUGUAGCUGGUCUGAGAGGACGACCAGCCACACUGGGACUGAGACACGGCCCAGACUCCUACGGGAGGCAGCAGUGGGGAAUUUUUGGACAAUGGGCGCAAGCCUGAUCCAGCAAU